GACGAACGCUGGCGGCGUGCUUAACACAUGCAAGUCGAACGGAAAGGCCCUGCUUUUGUGGGGUGCUCGAGUGGCGAACGGGUGAGUAACACGUGAGUAACCUGCCCUUGACUUUGGGAUAACUUCAGGAAACUGGGGCUAAUACCGGAUAGGAGCUCCUGCUGCAUGGUGGGGGUUGGAAAGUUUCGGCGGUUGGGGAUGGACUCGCGGCUUAUCAGCUUGUUGGUGGGGUAGUGGCUUACCAAGGCUUUGACGGGUAGCCGGCCUGAGAGGGUGACCGGCCACAUUGGGACUGAGAUACGGCCCAGACUCCUACGGGAGGCAGCAGUGGGGAAUAUUGCACAAUGGGCGGAAGCCUGAUGCAGCAACGCCGCGUGCGGGAUGACGGCCUUCGGGUUGUAAACCGCUUUCGCCUGUGACGAAGCGUGAGUGACGGUAAUGGGUAAAGAAGCACCGGCUAACUACGUGCCAGCAGCCGCGGUGAUACGUAGGGCGCGAGCGUUGUCCGGAUUUAUUGGGCGUAAAGGGCUCGUAGGUGGUUGAUCGCGUCGGAAGUGUAAUCUUGGGGCUUAACCCUGAGCGUGCUUUCGAUACGGGUUGACUUGAGGAAGGUAGGGGAGAAUGAAAUUCCUGGUGGAGCGGUGGAAUGCGCAGAUAUCAGGAGGAACACCAGUGGCGAAGGCGGUUCUCUGGGCCUUUCCUGACGCUGAGGAGCGAAAGCGUGGGGAGCGAACAGGCUUAGAUACCCUGGUAGUCCACGCUGUAAACGGUGGGUACUAGGUGUGGGGUCCAUUCCACGGGUUCCGUGCCGUAGCUAACGCUUUAAGUACCCCGCCUGGGGAGUACGGCCGCAAGGCUAAAACUCAAAGGAAUUGACGGGGCCCCGCACAAGCGGCGGAGCAUGCGGAUUAAUUCGAUGCAACGCGUAGAACCUUACCUGGGUUUGACAUGGAUCGGGAGUGCUCAGAGAUGGGUGUGCCUCUUUUGGGGUCGGUUCACAGGUGGUGCAUGGCUGUCGUCAGCUCGUGUCGUGAGAUGUUGGGUUAAGUCCCGCAACGAGCGCAACCCUUGUUCACUGUUGCCAGCACGUUAUGGUGGGGACUCAGUGGAGACCGCCGGGGUCAACUCGGAGGAAGGUGGGGAUGACGUCAAGCCAUCAUGCCCCUUAUGUCCAGGGCUUCACGCAUGCUACAAUGGCUGGUACAGAGAGUGGCGAGCCUGUGAGGGUGAGCGAAUCUCGGAAAGCCGGUCUCAGUUCGGAUUGGGGUCUGCAACUCGACCUCAUGAAGUCGGAGUCGCUAGUAAUCGCAGAUCAGCAACGCUGCGGUGAAUACGUUCCCGGGGCU
RNAcentral lists this ribosomal RNA (1346 nucleotides) under uncultured bacterium. RNAcentral describes it as "partial 16S ribosomal RNA". It matches the Rfam family "Bacterial small subunit ribosomal RNA", at positions 28 to 1381 of the family's 1533-position model. The record is from RNAcentral.